CCUUCAGGAUGGGGACAACAGUCGGAAACGACUGCUAAUACCGAAUAAGUUCCAAGAGCCGCAUGGCCCAUGGAAGAAAGGUGGCCUCUACCUGUAAGCUAUCGCCUGAAGAGGGGUUUGCGUCUGAUUAGCUGGUUGGAGGGGUAACGGCCCACCAAGGCGACGAUCAGUAGCCGGUCUGAGAGGAUGAACGGCCACACUGGAACUGAGACACGGUCCAGACUCCUACGGGAGGCAGCAGUGGGGAAUCUUCCGCAAUGGGCGAAAGCCUGACGGAGCAACGCCGCGUGAGUGAUGACGGCCUUCGGGUUGUAAAACUCUGUGAUCCGGGACGAAAAGGCAGAGUGCGAAGAACAAACUGCAUUGACGGUACCGGAAAAGCAAGCCACGGCUAACUACGUGCCAGCAGCCGCGGUAAUACGUAGGUGGCAAGCGUUGUCCGGAAUUAUUGGGCGUAAAGCGCGCGCAGGCGGCUUCCCAAGUCCCUCUUAAAAGUGCGGGGCUUAACCCCGUGAUGGGAAGGAAACUGGGAAGCUGGAGUAUCGGAGAGGAAAGUGGAAUUCCUAGUGUAGCGGUGAAAUGCGUAGAGAUUAGGAAGAACACCGGUGGCGAAGGCGACUUUCUGGACGAAAACUGACGCUGAGGCGCGAAAGCGUGGGGAGCAAACAGGAUUAGAUACCCUGGUAGUCCACGCCGUAAACGAUGGAUACUAGGUGUAGGAGGUAUCGACCCCUCCUGUGCCGGAGUUAACGCAAUAAGUAUCCCGCCUGGGAA
This 774-nucleotide ribosomal RNA is filed under the name uncultured bacterium. Its description in RNAcentral is "bacterial SSU rRNA". It matches the Rfam family "Bacterial small subunit ribosomal RNA", at positions 129 to 879 of the family's 1533-position model. The record is from RNAcentral.